UACGAGGGGGGCGAGCGUUGUUCGGAAUUAUUGGGCGUAAAGGGUGCGUAGGCGGUUCCGCAAGUCCUGUGUGAAAUCUUCGGGCUCAACUCGAAGUCUGCACGGGAAACUGCGGGGCUUGAGUGUGGGAGAGGUGAGUGGAAUUCCCGGUGUAGCGGUGAAAUGCGUAGAUAUCGUCAGGAAUGCCGGUGGUGAAGACGGGUGACUGGGCUGGUUCUGACACUGAGGCACGAAAGCGUGGGGAGCGAACGGG
This 253-nucleotide ribosomal RNA is filed under the name uncultured bacterium. RNAcentral's name for it is "partial 16S ribosomal RNA". It matches the Rfam family "Bacterial small subunit ribosomal RNA", at positions 524 to 776 of the family's 1533-position model. The record is from RNAcentral.